GGGUUGUGAGGUUAAGCGACUAAGCGUACACGGUGGAUGCCCUGGCAGUCAGAGGCGAUGAAGGACGUGCUAAUCUGCGAUAAGCGUCGGUAAGGUGAUAUGAACCGUUAUAACCGGCGAUUUCCGAAUGGGGAAACCCAGUGUGAUUCGUCACACUAUCAUUAACUGAAUCCAUAGGUUAAUGAGGCGAACCGGGGGAACUGAAACAUCUAAGUACCCCGAGGAAAAGAAAUCAACCGAGAUUCCCCCAGUAGCGGCGAGCGAACGGGGAGCAGCCCAGAGCCUGAAUCAGUGUGUGUGUUAGUGGAAGCGUCUGGAAAGGCGUGCGAUACAGGGUGACAGCCCCGUACACAAAAAUGCACAUGCUGUGAGCUCGAUGAGUAGGGCGGGACACGUGGUAUCCUGUCUGAAUAUGGGGGGACCAUCCUCCAAGGCUAAAUACUCCUGACUGACCGAUAGUGAACCAGUACCGUGAGGGAAAGGCGAAAAGAACCCCGGCGAGGGGAGUGAAAAAGAACCUGAAACCGUGUACGUACAAGCAGUGGGAGCACGCUUAGGCGUGUGACUGCGUACCUUUUGUAUAAUGGGUCAGCGACUUAUAUUCUGUAGCAAGGUUAACCGAAUAGGGGAGCCGAAGGGAAACC
This 644-nucleotide ribosomal RNA is filed under the name Escherichia coli. RNAcentral's name for it is "partial 23S ribosomal RNA". It matches the Rfam family "Bacterial large subunit ribosomal RNA", at positions 1 to 678 of the family's 2925-position model. The record is from RNAcentral. Lineage: Bacteria; Pseudomonadati; Pseudomonadota; Gammaproteobacteria; Enterobacterales; Enterobacteriaceae.